Molecule: ribosomal RNA, 90 nt
Filed under: Enterococcus faecium
Lineage: Bacteria; Bacillati; Bacillota; Bacilli; Lactobacillales; Enterococcaceae
Description: partial 23S ribosomal RNA
Rfam family: Bacterial large subunit ribosomal RNA
Source: RNAcentral
CCUGAGAGAUGAUCAGGUAGAUAGGUCAGGAGUGGAAGUACAGUGAUGUAUGGAGCGGACUGAUACUAAUCGAUCGAGGACUUAACCAAU